CAACUAACAAUAGAUUUGUAACAAAGAAAGUUAUGCAACUUUAAGUUCAUCUAUUAGUAUUAAAAAAAAAGUGAUUUGUUCUCUUUCUUUUAUUUUUAUUCCUCUUUUAUUUAACAAGAUAAUAAGGUAGUAAAUAAAUUAGCAUAAUGUAAAUGAUAUAGUUAGAUAACAAUAAACAUAAACAUAAAAUACUUGAAAUAAAAUGAACAAUAAAAUAAAUUGCAAAAAAAUAAAGUGCAAUAAUAUAAAUGUUAGGAGUUAGUAAUUAGUAGUUAAUAACAAUAAGCAAAUGGAUUAGCAAGUUAAUGUAAAGACAUGGUUUUAUCUAUGCAUCAAAUAACCCAAAUAUGGUUAAAAUAGAGGCAAUCUAUCAAUGCCUCAAAGUAUCAUGAAUGAUCUAUUGAUCAACCAUAGAUAGGUUUGAAACAUUGAAGAUUUAAUCAACUCUAAACAACUGUGGUCAAGAUCUAAUACACCUCAUCAACCAAACAAACACAACAACAAGUCCAUAAUAAAAGAAAAUGAU
RNAcentral lists this long non-coding RNA (526 nucleotides) under Lathyrus oleraceus (garden pea). RNAcentral describes it as "Pisum sativum (pea) long non-coding RNA (PSAT_LNC016863)". Lineage: Eukaryota; Viridiplantae; Streptophyta; Magnoliopsida; Fabales; Fabaceae. The record is from RNAcentral.